UACGGAGGGUGCAAGCGUUAUCCGGAUUCACUGGGUUUAAAGGGUGCGUAGGUGGGCAGGUAAGUCAGUGGUGAAAUCUCCGAGCUUAACUUGGAAACUGCCGUUGAUACUAUCUGUCUUGAAUAUUGUGGAGGUGAGCGGAAUAUGUCAUGUAGCGGUGAAAUGCUUAGAUAUGACAUAGAACACCAAUUGCGAAGGCAGCUCGCUACGCAUAUAUUGACUCUGAGGCACGAAAGCGUGGGGAUCAAACAGG
This 253-nucleotide ribosomal RNA is filed under the name uncultured bacterium. RNAcentral's name for it is "partial 16S ribosomal RNA". It matches the Rfam family "Bacterial small subunit ribosomal RNA", at positions 524 to 776 of the family's 1533-position model. The record is from RNAcentral.